UACGGAGGGGGCGAGCGUUAUUCGGAAUUAUUGGGCGUAAAGGGCGCGUAGGCGGCCUUGUAAGUCAAAGGUGAAAUCCCUCGGCUCAACUGAGGAACUGCCUUUGAAACUGCAAGGCUUGAGGCCGGGAGGGGGUAGCGGAAUUCCCAAUGUAGCGGUGAAAUGCGUAGAUAUCAGGAAGAACACCCGUGGCGAAGGCGCUCUGCUGGACCAUAACUGACACUCAGGGACGAAAGCUAGGGGAGCGAAUGGG
RNAcentral lists this ribosomal RNA (253 nucleotides) under uncultured bacterium. Its description in RNAcentral is "partial 16S ribosomal RNA". It matches the Rfam family "Bacterial small subunit ribosomal RNA", at positions 524 to 776 of the family's 1533-position model. The record is from RNAcentral.